CUUGUAACUCAGGCCCACAUGUCCAGGCAACACCUUGCUUACCUGCUGAUGGCCAGUGGUUUCCAUCUUAUUCUUCUGCUGAACAACACCAGCUUCUCCUCAUGCUGAAUUCACUCACAAAAAGAAAUACAGCAUGGUGACAGGCCCUUCCAGCCCAAUGAUCUCAUGUCACCCAAUAACACUCGUGACCAAUCAACCUACAAACCCAAUACGUCUUUGGAAUGUGGAAGGAAAUAGGAGAACCCGGAGGAAAUCCACGAAGUCAUGGGGAAAACAUACUAACUCCUUACAGAAUUGAAUAAAGAAAAAAAAAGAGAAAGAAGAGAAAGAUUGCCUGGAUAUCGGAGGAUCCCCACAUGCUCCAUGGAGUUCAAAAUAAUUUUAAUAUUUAUUUUUUCUUUCCCCAAUUACUUUAUAAUUUUAUCUUCAAAG
Hypanus sabinus (Atlantic stingray) is the source of this 432-nucleotide long non-coding RNA. RefSeq lists it as uncharacterized. The transcript is spliced from 4 exons. NCBI's taxonomy places the organism in Eukaryota, Metazoa, Chordata, Chondrichthyes, Myliobatiformes, Dasyatidae. The record is from RefSeq and is a predicted model, not a curated record.